Molecule: ribosomal RNA, 483 nt
Filed under: uncultured bacterium
Lineage: Bacteria
Description: partial 16S ribosomal RNA
Rfam family: Bacterial small subunit ribosomal RNA
Source: RNAcentral
AUUGAACGCUGGCGGCAUGCUUUACACAUGCAAGUCGAACGGCAGCGCGGGCUUCGGCCUGGCGGCGAGUGGCGAACGGGUGAGUAAUGCAUCGAACGUGCCCAGUAGUGGGGGAUAGCCCGGCGAAAGCCGGAUUAAUACCGCAUACGACCUGAGGGUGAAAGCGGGGGACCGAAAGGCCUCGCGCUAUUGGAGCGGCCGAUGUCGGAUUAGCUAGUUGGUGGGGUAAAGGCUUACCAAGGCGACGAUCCGUAGCUGGUCUGAGAGGACGACCAGCCACACUGGGACUGAGACACGGCCCAGACUCCUACGGGAGGCAGCAGUGGGGAAUUUUGGACAAUGGGGGCAACCCUGAUCCAGCCAUGCCGCGUGCGGGAAGAAGGCCUUCGGGUUGUAAACCGCUUUUGUUCGGGAAGAAAUCCUCUGGGCUAAUACCCCGGGGGGAUGACGGUACCGGAAGAAUAAGCACCGGCUAACUACGUG